RNAcentral lists this ribosomal RNA (446 nucleotides) under uncultured bacterium. RNAcentral's name for it is "partial 16S ribosomal RNA". It matches the Rfam family "Bacterial small subunit ribosomal RNA", at positions 338 to 795 of the family's 1533-position model. The record is from RNAcentral.
CCUACGGGUGGCAGCAGUCGAGAAUCAUUCACAAUGGGGGAAACCCUGAUGGUGCGACGCCGCGUGGGGGAAUGAAGGUCUUCGGAUUGUAAACCCCUGUCAUGUGGGAGCAAAUUAAAAAGAUAGUACCACAAGAGGAAGAGACGGCUAACUCUGUGCCAGCAGCCGCGGUAAUACAGAGGUCUCAAGCGUUGUUCGGAAUCACUGGGCGUAAAGCGUGCGUAGGCUGUUUCGUGAGUCGUGUGUGAAAGGCGCGGGCUCAACCCGCGGACGGCACAUGAUACUGCGAGACUAGAGUGAUGGAGGGGGAACCGGAAUUCUCGGUGUAGCAGUGAAAUGCGUAGAUAUCGGGAGGAACACUUGUGGCGAAGGCGGGUUCCUGGACAUUAACUGACGCUGAGGCACGAAGGCCAGGGGAGCGAAAGGGAUUAGAUACCCGAGUAGUC